ACGUAGGGUGCGAGCGUUAAUCGGAAUUACUGGGCGUAAAGCGUGCGCAGGCGGUUUUGUAAGUCGGAUGUGAAAUCCCCGGGCUCAACCUGGGAACUGCGUUCGAAACUGCAAGGCUAGAGUGUGUCAGAGGGGGGUAGAAUUCCACGUGUAGCAGUGAAAUGCGUAGAGAUGUGGAGGAAUACCAAUGGCGAAGGCAGCCCCCUGGGAUAACACUGACGCUCAUGCACGAAAGCGUGGGGAGCAAACAGG
RNAcentral lists this ribosomal RNA (252 nucleotides) under uncultured bacterium. Its description in RNAcentral is "partial 16S ribosomal RNA". It matches the Rfam family "Bacterial small subunit ribosomal RNA", at positions 525 to 776 of the family's 1533-position model. The record is from RNAcentral.